CAGCAGCAGCCGCGGGAAUACAGAGGGUGCGAGCGUUAAUCGGAUUUACUGGGCGUAAAGCGUGCGUAGGCGGCUUUUUAAGUCGGAUGUGAAAUCCCUGAGCUUAACUUAGGAAUUGCAUUCGAUACUGGGAAGCUAGAGUAUGGGAGAGGAUGGUAGAAUUCCAGGUGUAGCGGUGAAAUGCGUAGAGAUCUGGAGGAAUACCGAUGGCGAAGGCAGCCAUCUGGCCUAAUACUGACGCUGAGGUACGAAAGCAUGGGGAGCAAACAGGAUUAGAUACCCCCGUAGUCCCUGUCUCUUAUAA
This 304-nucleotide ribosomal RNA is filed under the name uncultured bacterium. Its description in RNAcentral is "partial 16S ribosomal RNA". It matches the Rfam family "Bacterial small subunit ribosomal RNA", at positions 506 to 809 of the family's 1533-position model. The record is from RNAcentral.